RNAcentral lists this ribosomal RNA (253 nucleotides) under uncultured bacterium. RNAcentral's name for it is "partial 16S ribosomal RNA". It matches the Rfam family "Bacterial small subunit ribosomal RNA", at positions 524 to 776 of the family's 1533-position model. The record is from RNAcentral.
UACGAAGGGGGCUAGCGUUGCUCGGAAUUACUGGGCGUAAAGCGCACGUAGGCGGAUUGUUAAGUCGGAGGUGAAAUCCUGGAGCUCAACUCCAGAACUGCCUUCGAUACUGGCGAUCUCGAGUUCGGGAGAGGUGAGUGGAACUGCGAGUGUAGAGGUGAAAUUCGUAGAUAUUCGCAAGAACACCAGUGGCGAAGGCGGCUCACUGGCCCGAUACUGACGCUGAGGUGCGAAAGCGUGGGGAGCAAACAGG